UACGGAGGAUGCGAGCGUUAUCCGGAUUUAUUGGGUUUAAAGGGUGCGUAGGCGGGAUGCCAAGUCAGCGGUAAAAUGUCCGGGCUCAACCCGGGCCGGCCGUUGAAACUGGGGAUCUUGAGUGGGCGAGAAGUAUGCGGAAUGCGUGGUGUAGCGGUGAAAUGCAUAGAUAUCACGCAGAACUCCGAUUGCGAAGGCAGCAUACCGGCGCCCGACUGACGCUGAGGCACGAAAGCGUGGGGAUCGAACAGG
RNAcentral lists this ribosomal RNA (252 nucleotides) under uncultured bacterium. Its description in RNAcentral is "partial 16S ribosomal RNA". It matches the Rfam family "Bacterial small subunit ribosomal RNA", at positions 524 to 776 of the family's 1533-position model. The record is from RNAcentral.